GACGAACGCUGGCGGCGUGCUUAACACAUGCAAGUCGAACGGAAAGGCCCUGCUUUUGUGGGGUGCUCGAGUGGCGAACGGGCGAGUAACACGUGAGUAACCUGCCCUUGACUUUGGGAUAACUUCAGGAAACUGAGGCUAAUACCGGAUAGGAGCUCCUGCUGCAUGGUGGGGGUUGGAAAGUUUCGGCGGUUGGGGAUGGACUCGCGGCUUAUCAGCUUGUUGGUGGGGUAGUGGCUUACCAAGGCUUUGACGGGUAGCCGGCCUGAGAGGGUGACCGGCCACAUUGGGACUGAGAUACGGCCCAGACUCCUACGGGAGGCAGCAGUGGGGAAUAUUGCACAAUGGCGGAAGCCUGAUGCAGCAACGCCGCGUGCGGGAUGACGGCCUUCGGGUUGUAAACCGCUUUCGCCUGUGACGAAGCGUGAGUGACGGUAAUGGGUAAAGAAGCACCGGCUAACUACGUGCCAGCAGCCGCGGUGAUACGUAGGGUGCGAGCGUUGUCCGGAUUUAUUGGGCGUAAAGGGCUCGUAGGUGGUUGAUCGCGUCGGAAGUGUAAUCUUGGGGCUUAACCCUGAGCGUGCUUUCGAUACGGGUUGACUUGAGGAAGGUGGGGGAGAAUGGAAUUCCUGGUGGAGCGGUGGAAUGCGCAGAUAUCAGGAGGAACACCAGUGGCGAAGGCGGUUCUCUGGGCCUUUCCCGACGCUGAGGAGCGAAAGCGUGGGGAGCGAACAGGCUUAGAUACCCUGGUAGUCCACGCUGUAAACGGUGGGUACUAGGUGUGGGGUCCAUUCCACGGGUUCCGUGCCGUAGCUAACGCUUUAAGUACCCCGCCUGGGGAGUACGGCCGCAAGGCUAAAACUCAAAGGAAUUGACGGGGCCCCGCACAAGCGGCGGAGCAUGCGGAUUAAUUCGAUGCAACGCGUAGAACCUUACCUGGGUUUGACAUGGAUCGGGAGUGCUCAGAGAUGGGUGUGCCUCUUUUGGGGUCGGUUCACAGGUGGUGCAUGGCUGUCGUCAGCUCGUGUCGUGAGAUGUUGGGUUAAGUCCCGCAACGAGCGCAACCCUUGUUCACUGUUGCCAGCACGUUAUGGUGGGGACUCAGUGGAGACCGCCGGGGUCAACUCGGAGGAAGGUGGGGAUGACGUCAAGUCAUCAUGCCCCUUAUGUCCAGGGCUUCACGCAUGCUACAAUGGCUGGUACAGAGAGUGGCGAGCCUGUGAGGGUGAGCGAAUCUCGGAAAGCCGGUCUCAGUUCGGAUUGGGGUCUGCAACUCGACCUCAUGAAGUCGGAGUCGCUAGUAAUCGCAGAUCAGCAACGCUGCGGUGAAUACGUUCCCGGGGCU
Molecule: ribosomal RNA, 1345 nt
Filed under: uncultured bacterium
Lineage: Bacteria
Description: partial 16S ribosomal RNA
Rfam family: Bacterial small subunit ribosomal RNA
Source: RNAcentral